This 407-nucleotide ribosomal RNA is filed under the name uncultured bacterium. Its description in RNAcentral is "bacterial SSU rRNA". It matches the Rfam family "Bacterial small subunit ribosomal RNA", at positions 355 to 754 of the family's 1533-position model. The record is from RNAcentral.
UGGGGAAUAUUGGACAAUGGGCGAAAGCCUGAUCCAGCCAUGCCGCGUGUGUGAAGAAGGUCUUCGGAUUGUAAAGCACUUUAAGUUGGGAGGAAGGGUUGUAGAUUAAUACUCUGCAAUUUUGACGUUACCGACAGAAUAAGCACCGGCUAACUCUGUGCCAGCAGCCGCGGUAAUACAGAGGGUGCAAGCGUUAAUCGGAAUUACUGGGCGUAAAGCGCGCGUAGGUGGUUUGUUAAGUUGGAUGUGAAAUCCCCGGGCUCAACCUGGGAACUGCAUUCAAAACUGACUGACUAGAGUAUGGUAGAGGGUGGUGGAAUUUCCUGUGUAGCGGUGAAAUGCGUAGAUAUAGGAAGGAACACCAGUGGCGAAGGCGACCACCUGGACUAAUACUGACACUGAGGUGC